GACGAACGCUGGCGGCGUGCUUAACACAUGCAAGUCGAACGCUGAAGAUUGGUGCUUGCACUGGGUGGAUGAGUGGCGAAAGGGUGAGUAAUACGUGAGUAACCUGCCCUUGACUCUGGGAUAAGCCUGGGAAACUGGGUCUAAUACUGGAUAUGACAUGCCACUGCAUGGUGGUGUGUGGAAAGGGUUUUACUGGUUUUGGAUGGGCUCACGGCCUAUCAGCUUGUUGGUGGGGUAAUGGCCUACCAAGGCGACGACGGGUAGCCGGCCUGAGAGGGUGACCGGCCACACUGGGAGUGAGGAACGGCCCAGACUCCUACGGGAGGCAGCAGUGGGGAAUAUUGCACAAUGGGCGGAAGCCUGAUGCAGCGACGCCGCGUGGGGGAUGACGGCCUUCGGGUUGUAAACCUCUUUCAGCACGGAAGAAGCGAGAGUGACGGUACGUGCAGAAGAAGCGCCGGCUAACUACGUG
Molecule: ribosomal RNA, 472 nt
Filed under: uncultured bacterium
Lineage: Bacteria
Description: partial 16S ribosomal RNA
Rfam family: Bacterial small subunit ribosomal RNA
Source: RNAcentral